UAACAAACUGAUUUUGAAUUUCGUGGAUAUACUAUCCUUUCGGUGUGAUCGAGUUCAAGGACUCGCGACUAACUUGUUCCAGUUUCGAAUGCAGCAGCACCAAAUAAAAAUUGCCAAUGUGACCAGUGAAAUAGGAUAUCCAAGAGCACAACAACAUCAAGAACUCCAGUUUUUCAGCUUUUCUUCCAAGUUCCGGUCCCGGUUUCAUUUGCAGCUCCAGUUUCGCGCUCGGUUCUCGGGGUUUCCCUGCAAUUUCCGCGAUUUCCUUCUUUAUUUCCCUUCGUUCCGUUUUCGCGUCGCGGUUUGUUAUUGUCAACUUUCGUUUUCGUGCGGUUUUUCGCGGCUUUCCUAACGGUCCAACGACGGGCGCAAAUGGAUAGUGAAACUGGCUUGGAUUUCCAAUAGCUUCUAAGUACUCAGCAUUUUCCGAGGGAAAACUACGAGAAAGGAAAUGGAUUAACAACCAAGCUUUCAAUCAAAGGAUUUGAGAACAACGGCGGUCACAACAACACAAAAUACUUUGGAAGCUCUUUAGACAACUGACAAAAAAAAAUCCCUUUCGGCCCAAAAUCAAAAUUGCAAACCAAACGAAGAAAAGGCGUAAAAUGAAUUAGGCUAAACAUACAACUUAUAUGAAAUAUAAAUAUUAUUACUAUUAAAGCCAAUAACAAGUAACGCGCUAAUGUUUAAUUAGUUGUUAAGUCCAGAACCCAAACAAACAAACAAACGG
This is a long non-coding RNA of Drosophila erecta, 730 nucleotides long. RefSeq lists it as uncharacterized. NCBI's taxonomy places the organism in Eukaryota, Metazoa, Arthropoda, Insecta, Diptera, Drosophilidae. The record is from RefSeq and is a predicted model, not a curated record. The transcript is spliced from 2 exons.